UACGUAGGUGGCAAGCGUUGUCCGGAAUUACUGGGUGUAAAGGGAGCGCAGGCGGGACAGCAAGUUGGAUGUGAAAUACCGAGGCUCAACCACGGUACUGCAUCCAAAACUGUUGUUCUUGAGUGAAGUAGAGGUAGGCGGAAUUCCGAGUGUAGCGGUGAAAUGCGUAGAUAUUCGGAGGAACACCAGUGGCGAAGGCGGCCUACUGGGCUUUAACUGACGCUGAGGCUCGAAAGUGUGGGGAGCAAACAGG
This 253-nucleotide unclassified non-coding RNA is filed under the name uncultured Oscillospiraceae bacterium. RNAcentral's name for it is "contains 16S-23S intergenic spacer region". It matches the Rfam family "Bacterial small subunit ribosomal RNA", at positions 524 to 776 of the family's 1533-position model. Lineage: Bacteria; Bacillati; Bacillota; Clostridia; Eubacteriales; Oscillospiraceae. The record is from RNAcentral.